This 253-nucleotide ribosomal RNA is filed under the name uncultured bacterium. RNAcentral describes it as "partial 16S ribosomal RNA". It matches the Rfam family "Bacterial small subunit ribosomal RNA", at positions 524 to 776 of the family's 1533-position model. The record is from RNAcentral.
UACGUAGGGGGCUAGCGUUGUCCGGAAUCAUUGGGCGUAAAGCGCGUGUAGGCGGUCCGGUAAGUCCGCUGUGAAAGUCGGGGGCUCAACCCUCGGAUGCCGGUGGAUACUGUCGGGCUUGAGUACGGAAGAGGCGAGUGGAAUUCCUGGUGUAGCGGUGAAAUGCGCAGAUAUCGGGAGGAACACCAGUGGCGAAGGCGGCGCUCUGGGCCGGAACUGACGCUGAGGAGCGAAAGCGUGGGUAGCAAACAGG